This is a long non-coding RNA of Corvus moneduloides (New Caledonian crow), 2158 nucleotides long. The record is from Ensembl. Lineage: Eukaryota; Metazoa; Chordata; Aves; Passeriformes; Corvidae.
AACCCAGCAAUGCCCCCCAUAGGGCAGCCCCUGGCCCCUCUAUGGGGCAGCCCCUGACCCCACAAUGGGGCAGCCCCACAAGCCAGCGAUGCCCCCCAUGGGGCAGCCCCAUUGCUAGAGCCGCACAGUCUAUAGGGCAGCCCCCCAACUCCAGCCAUGCCCUCCAUGGGGCAGCCCCCCAACGCUGCUAUGGGGCAGCCCCCAUUGCUAGAUACGCACAGCCUGUGGGGCAGCCCCCUCCCCGCUACGGGGCAGCCCCCUCCCUCUAGGUACGCACAAUCCGUAGGGCAGCCCCUCACCCGCCCCAGCUAUGGGGCAGCCCCCCAACUCCAGCUCUGCACCCCCUGACCCCGCUAUGGGGCAGCCCCCCAACUCCAGCUCUGCACCCCCUGACCCCGCUAUGGGGCAGCCCCCCAACUCCAGCUCUGCACCCCCUGACCCCGCUAUGGGGCAGCCCCCCCCCCAGCUCUCUCCUCCCCGUUCCGGGGCUCAGCCCCUCCAUGGGGGGCCCAGCUCCCCCCUUUGGGGGCUCCCCCCACCCCCCCAGCCUCCAAUAAAGCUUCCGCUGCCCCCCAACCCCCGCCUGGUGUCUUGGGGGGGGCAGGGACCCCCAGGGACCACCCCAGUGACCCCCCCAGCCCCACGGGGCCCCCCAGGGCUCCGCCCCACAGAUCUGGGGGGAGGGCACCGACCCAGGGACCCCCCAGCCCAAACUCUGGGAGUGCCGUGGGGGCUGCACCAGCCCUGCCGGUGAGAGGCAGGAUCGAUACCGGAUCAAUAUCGGAUCAAUACUGGAUCGAUACUGGAUCACUAUCAGGUCAAUGCUGGAUCAGUGCUGGAUCAAUGCUGGAUCAAUGCCAAAUCAAUACUGGAUCAAUGCUGGAUCGAUACCGGAUCAAUACCGGAUCAAUUCUGGAUCAAUGCCAGAUCAAUACUGGAUCAAUGCCGGAUCAAUGCCAGAUCAAUGGUCGAUCAGUGCCUGAUCAAUACCAGAUCAAUAUCGGAUCAAUGCUGGAUCAAUGCUGGAUCGAUGCCGGAUCGAUGCCGGAUCGAUGCCAGAUCGAUAGGACCCAAUGCCAGAUCAAUGCUGGAUCAAUACCAGAUUCACGCCAGAUUGGUGCUGGAUCAAUGCCAGAACCACGCCGAAUCAAUGCCGGAUCAAUGCGGGAUCAGUGCCGGAUCGAUAGGACCCGAUGCCAGAUCGAUACAGAGCUGAUGCCGGAUUGGUGCCGGAUCGAUACAGAGCCAAUGUGGGAUCGAUGCCAGAUCAAUAGGACCCGAUGGCGGAUCAAUAGGACCCAAUGCAGGAUCGAUGCGGGAUCAAUAGGACCCGAUGGCGGAUCAAUAGGACCCAAUGCGGGAUCGAUGCCGGAUCAAUAGGACCCGAUGCUGGAUCGGUGCCGGAUCAAUAGGACCUGAUACCAGAUCAAUGCUGGAUCAAUACAGACCCAAUGCGGGAUCAAUGCCGGAUCAAUAGGACCCGAUGUGGGAUCAAUAGGACCCGAUGUGGGAUCGAUACUGGAUCAAUGCCGGAUCAAUAGGACCCGAUGUGGGAUCGAUACCGGAUCAAUAGGACCCAAUGUGGGAUCGAUACCGGAUCAAUGCCGGAUCAAUAGGACCCGAUGUGGGAUCGAUACCGGAUCAAUGCCGGAUCAAUAGGACCCGAUGUGGGAUCGAUACUGGAUCAAUGCCUGAUCAAUAGGACCCGAUGUGGGAUCGAUGCCGGAUCAAUAGGACCCGAUGUGGGAUCGAUGUGGGAUCAAUAGGACCCGAUGUGGGAUCGAUACUGGAUCAAUGCCUGAUCAAUAGGACCCGAUGUGGGAUCGAUGCCGGAUCAAUAGGACCCGAUGUGGGAUCGAUGUGGGAUCAAUAGGACCCGAUGUAGGAUCGAUACUGGAUCAAUGCCAGAUCAAUAGGACCCGAUGUGGGAUCGAUGCCGGAUCAAUGCCGGAUCAAUAGGACCCGAUGUGGGAUCGAUACCGGAUCAAUGCCGGAUCAAUAGGACCCGAUGUGGGAUCGAUGCCGGAUCAAUAGGACCCAAUGUGGGAUCAAUAGGACCCGAUGCGGGAUCGAUACCGGAUCAAUGCCGGAUCAAUGCCGGCUGUUACAGGAGGGUUCGGAUCCAGGCUUGGGGGCGGAGCCGUUUCGUUCCUUCUGC